RNAcentral lists this ribosomal RNA (262 nucleotides) under uncultured bacterium. RNAcentral's name for it is "partial 16S ribosomal RNA". It matches the Rfam family "Bacterial small subunit ribosomal RNA", at positions 510 to 771 of the family's 1533-position model. The record is from RNAcentral.
AGCAGCCGCGGUAAUACGGAGGGAGCUAGCGUUGUUCGGAAUUACUGGGCGUAAAGCGCGCGUAGGUGGCUAUUCAAGUCGGGGGUGAAAGCCCGGGGCUCAACCCCGGAACUGCCCUUGAAACUGCAGCGCUAGAAUCUUGGAGAGGCGAGUGGAAUUCCGAGUGUAGAGGUGAAAUUCGUAGAUAUUCGGAAGAACACCAGUGGCGAAGGCGACUCGCUGGACAAGUAUUGACGCUGAGGUGCGAAAGCGUGGGGAGCAA